GGUUGAUAUUCCCGUACCGGCGCUGACGCGCCCAUGCUGAACCUGGUUUGUGCUAACCGCUCGGUUCUUGUUCUGCCUUCGGGUGGGGCUUGGGCUGGCCGGGACCCCGGCUGGUAGUAGGCAAGCGAUGGGGUGACGCAGGAGGGUAGUCCAACCCAGGAGGUGGUUUUCCUGGGGCAAGGGUGUAGGGCGAGACGUAGGCAAAUCCGCGUCUUGUGUGCCUGAGACCUGAUGCCGAGCCA
RNAcentral lists this ribosomal RNA (242 nucleotides) under Frankia sp. 55005. RNAcentral describes it as "partial 23S ribosomal RNA". The record is from RNAcentral. Lineage: Bacteria; Bacillati; Actinomycetota; Actinomycetes; Frankiales; Frankiaceae.